This is a non-coding RNA of Hippopotamus amphibius kiboko, 360 nucleotides long. NCBI's taxonomy places the organism in Eukaryota, Metazoa, Chordata, Mammalia, Artiodactyla, Hippopotamidae. The record is from the annotation of a RefSeq genome assembly.
GCCAUGGGCUCCAGGCUCCUGUGCUCUGUGGCUCUUUGUCUCCUGGGGGCAGGCCCGGUCGAUUCUGGAGUCACUCAGACCCCAAAAUACCUGAUCAAGUCAAGACAACAGCAGGUGACCCUGAGAUGUUCCCCUGUCUCUGGACAUCGCUCCGUGUCCUGGUACCAACAGCCCCUGGGCCAGGGCCCUCAGUUCCUUGUUCAGUAUUACCGCGGGGAGGAAAGAGCCAAAGGCAACUUCCCAGAUCGAUUCUCCGCACAACAGUUCCGGGACUCUCACUCUGAGAUGAAUGUGAGCUCCUUGGAGCUGAGGGACUCGGCCCUGUACCUCUGUGCCAGCAGCUUGGCACAGCCCUGCUGA